This 1102-nucleotide ribosomal RNA is filed under the name Bacillus sp. (in: firmicutes). RNAcentral's name for it is "bacterial SSU rRNA". It matches the Rfam family "Bacterial small subunit ribosomal RNA", at positions 82 to 1166 of the family's 1533-position model. The record is from RNAcentral. Lineage: Bacteria; Bacillati; Bacillota; Bacilli; Caryophanales; Bacillaceae.
ACCUAUGACGUUAGCGGCGGACGGGUGAGUAACACGUGGGCAACCUGCCUGUAAGACUGGGAUAACUUCGGGAAACCGAAGCUAAUACCGGAUAGGAUCUUCUCCUUCAUGGGAGAUGAUUGAAAGAUGGUUUCGGCUAUCACUUACAGAUGGGCCCGCGGUGCAUUAGCUAGUUGGUGAGGUAACGGCUCACCAAGGCAACGAUGCAUAGCCGACCUGAGAGGGUGAUCGGCCACACUGGGACUGAGACACGGCCCAGACUCCUACGGGAGGCAGCAGUAGGGAAUCUUCCGCAAUGGACGAAAGUCUGACGGAGCAACGCCGCGUGAGUGAUGAAGGCUUUCGGGUCGUAAAACUCUGUUGUUAGGGAAGAACAAGUACGAGAGUAACUGCUCGUACCUUGACGGUACCUAACCAGAAAGCCACGGCUAACUACGUGCCAGCAGCCGCGGUAAUACGUAGGUGGCAAGCGUUAUCCGGAAUUAUUGGGCGUAAAGCGCGCGCAGGCGGUUUCUUAAGUCUGAUGUGAAAGCCCACGGCUCAACCGUGGAGGGUCAUUGGAAACUGGGGAACUUGAGUGCAGAAGAGAAAAGCGGAAUUCCACGUGUAGCGGUGAAAUGCGUAGAGAUGUGGAGGAACACCAGUGGCGAAGGCGGCUUUUUGGUCUGUAACUGACGCUGAGGCGCGAAAGCGUGGGGAGCAAACAGGAUUAGAUACCCUGGUAGUCCACGCCGUAAACGAUGAGUGCUAAGUGUUAGAGGGUUUCCGCCCUUUAGUGCUGCAGCUAACGCAUUAAGCACUCCGCCCGGGGAGUACGGUCGCAAGACUGAAACUCAAAGGAAUUGACGGGGGCCCGCACAAGCGGUGGGAGCAUGUGGUUUAUUUCGAAGCAACGCGAAGAACCUUACCAGGUCUUGACAUCCUCUGACAACUCUAGAGAUAGAGCGUUCCCUUCGGGGAACAGAGUGACAGGUGGUGCAUGUUGUCGUCAGCUCCGUGCGUGAGAUGUUGGUUAAGUCCCGCAACGAGCCCAACCCUGGAUCUAGCUGCCCAGCCAUUUAGUGGGCACCUUCUUAGGUGUACUGCCGGGUGGACAUACCGG